Molecule: transfer RNA, 73 nt
Organism: Methylocystis bryophila
Lineage: Bacteria; Pseudomonadati; Pseudomonadota; Alphaproteobacteria; Hyphomicrobiales; Methylocystaceae
Rfam family: tRNA
About the family: Transfer RNA (tRNA) molecules are approximately 80 nucleotides in length.
Source: Rfam
GCCCGGGUAGCUCAGUUGGUAGAGCAUGCGACUGAAAAUCGCAGUGUCGGUGGUUCGAUUCCGCCCCCGGGCA